CAAGCGGUGGAUGAUGUGGAUUAAUUCGAUGCAACGCGAAAAACCUUACCUACCCUUGACAUGGCAAAAAUCCCGGAGAGAUUUGGGAGUGCUCGAGAGAGAAUCUGCACACAGGUGCUGCAUGGCUGUCGUCAGCUCGUGUCGUGAGAUGUUGGGUUAAGUCCCGCAACGAGCGCAACCCUUGUCAUUAGUUGCUACGAAAGAGCACUCUAAUGAGACUGCCGGUGACAAACCGGAGGAAGGUGGGGAUGACGUCAAGUCCUCAUGGCCCUUAUGGGUAGGGCUUCACACGUCAUACAAUGGUACAUACAGAGGGCCGCCAACCCGCGAGGGGGAGCUAAUCCCAAAAAGUGUAUCGUAGUCCGGAUUGUAGUCUGCAACUCGACUGCAUGAAGUUGGAAUCGCUAGUAAUCGCGGAUCAGCAUGUCGCGGUGAAUACGUUCCCGGGUCUUGUACACACC
RNAcentral lists this ribosomal RNA (461 nucleotides) under uncultured bacterium. RNAcentral's name for it is "bacterial SSU rRNA". It matches the Rfam family "Bacterial small subunit ribosomal RNA", at positions 926 to 1391 of the family's 1533-position model. The record is from RNAcentral.